AUGCAGGCAAGAUGGCGGAAGGGGAGGACGUGGGAUGGUGGCGGAGCUGGCUGCAGCAGAGCUACCAAGCAGUCAAAGAGAAGGUAAGCCGGGCCCGUGCCCUUCUUCCUUCACCAGGGCCCUGCGCCGCCUCAAUGCAACCUGGUCCAACCAGCCCCGCCCAACUUUUGCGGGCGCUAGGUCUCAAGGAUGAGGCUGACCUGGGCCUUUCUUUCAGCCUCUACCGGUCCACGGGAAAACAGACUUCGACGCAAACCAGUGUGAUACUAGCCACAGUGAAAUAAAGAUGGUUUUAAAGGCUGGAGUUAACGAACGUUUUGUAGGAAUCCAUAGGAAGGAGCAAUUAUUCCAGCUCAGGAAAUUCAGUUUCUUCGUGAAAGAGAGAACAUUUGAUACAGGUCUUGAAGGAAAAGAUUCUAGCAAUAAAAAAAACUUACUCGUAUAGUCAUUCAAAUAUUAGAGUAUAUGCGACAACCAGCACUCUGAUAGGUCUUGAGGAUACAGACUUCAGCCAAACAGAUGUAAUCCUGGGCCUUACAAAGCUCACAGUCUAGUGGGGAGA
Molecule: small RNA, 562 nt
Filed under: Pongo abelii (Sumatran orangutan)
Lineage: Eukaryota; Metazoa; Chordata; Mammalia; Primates; Hominidae
Description: retained intron
Source: RNAcentral